Molecule: ribosomal RNA, 855 nt
Filed under: uncultured archaeon
Lineage: Archaea
Description: bacterial SSU rRNA
Rfam family: Archaeal small subunit ribosomal RNA
Source: RNAcentral
ACUGCUCAGUAACACGUGGCUAACCUGCCCUUGGGACGGGAAUACCCCCGGGAAACUGGGGCUAAUCCUCGAUAGGUGAAGAACUCUGGAAUGAGUCUCCGCCCAAAAGACGCUUAAAUCAUGCUUUUAGGCGCCGCCCAAGGAUGGGGCCGCGACCGAUCAGGUAGUUGGUGAGGCAACGGCUCACCAAGCCUUUGACCGGUGCGGGCCGUGAGAGCGGGAGCCCGGAGAUGGGCACUGAGACAAGGGCCCAGGCCCUACGGGGCGCAGCAGUCGCGAAAACUUUGCAAUACACGAAAGUGUGACAGGGCUAUCCCGAGUGCCAUCCGCUGAGGAAGGCUUUUACCCAGUAUAGAAAGCUGGGAGAAUAAGGAGAGGGCAAGUCUGGUGUCAGCCGCCGCGGUAAUACCAGCUCUCCGAGUGGUGUGGAUGUUUAUUGGGCCUAAAGCAUCCGUAGCUGGCCAAGUUAGUCCCCUGUUAAAUCCACCGAAUUAAUCGUUGGAGUGCGGGGGAUACUGCUCGGCUAGGGGACGAGAGAGGCCGACGGUAUUCCCGGGGUAGGGGUGAAAUCCUAUAAUCCCGGGAGGACCACCAGUGGCGAAGGCUGUCGGCUAGAACGCGCCCGACGGUGAGGGAUGAAAGCUGGGGGAGCGAACCGGAUUAGAUACCCGGGUAGUCCCAGCUGUAAACGAUGCAGGCUAGGUGUUUGGGCGGCCACGGGCCGCUCUAGUGCCGCAGGGAAGCCGUUAAGCCUGCCGCCUGGGGAGUACGGCCGCAAGGCUGAAACUUAAAGGAAUUGGCGGGGGAGCACCACAAGGGGUGAAGCUUGCGGGUUUAAUUGGAUUCAACGCCGGA